Molecule: ribosomal RNA, 451 nt
Filed under: uncultured bacterium
Lineage: Bacteria
Description: partial 16S ribosomal RNA
Rfam family: Bacterial small subunit ribosomal RNA
Source: RNAcentral
AGCGAACGCUGGCGGCAUGCCUAACACAUGCAAGUCGCACGGGGGGGCUUCGGCCUCCCAGUGGCGGACGGGUGAGGAACGCGUAGGGACCUGUCGAGGGGUGGGGGAUAACCGCGGGAAACUGCGGCUAAUACCGCAUGACGCCGCGGCGUGACAGCCGGGGCCAAAGGCGAAAGCCGCCCGCCGAGGGGCCUGCGUCCGAUUAGCUGGUUGGCGGGGUAGCGGCCCACCAAGGCGUCGAUCGGUAGCUGGUCUGAGAGGGUGAUCAGCCACACCGGGACUGAGACACGGCCCGGACUCCUACGGGAGGCAGCAGUGGGGAAUAUUGGACGAUGGGCGCAAGCCUGAUCCAGCAAUGCCGCGUGGGUGAAGAAGGUCUUCGGAUUGUAAAGCCCUUUCGGCGGGGACGAUGGUGACGGUACCCGCAGAAGAAGCCCCGGCUAACUUCGUG